CAGUCGCCGCGGGAAUACGAAGGGUGCAAGCGUUACUCGGAAUUACUGGGCGUAAAGCGUGCGUAGGUGGUUGUUUAAGUCUGCUGUGAAAGCCCUGGGCUCAACCUGGGAAUUGCAGUGGAUACUGGGCAACUAGAGUAAGGUAGAGGAUAGUGGAAUUUCCGGUGUAGCAGUGAAAUGCGUAGAGAUCGGAAGGAACAUCUGUGGCGAAGGCGACUAUCUGGGCCAUUACUGACACUGAGGCACGAAAGCGUGGGGAGCAAACAGGAUUAGAUACCCCCGUAGUCCCUGUCUCUUAUAC
RNAcentral lists this ribosomal RNA (301 nucleotides) under uncultured bacterium. RNAcentral describes it as "partial 16S ribosomal RNA". It matches the Rfam family "Bacterial small subunit ribosomal RNA", at positions 509 to 807 of the family's 1533-position model. The record is from RNAcentral.